AUGGGGGGACCAUCCUCCAAGGCUAAAUACUACUGACUGACCGAUAGUGAACCAGUACCGUGAGGGAAAGGCGAAAAGAACCCCUGUGAGGGGAGUGAAAUAGAACCUGAAACCGUGUACGUACAAGCAGUAGGAGCAGGCUUUGUCCUGUGACUGCGUACCUUUUGUAUAAUGGGUCAGCGACUUAUAUUCAGUGGCAAGGUUAACCAUCUAGGGGAGCCGUAGGGAAACCGAGUCUUAACUGGGCGUUCAGUCUCUGGAUAUAGACCCGAAACCAGGUGAUCUAGCCAUGGGCAGGUUGAAGGUUGAGUAACAUCAACUGGAGGACCGAACCGACUAAUGUUGAAAAAUUAGCGGAUGACUUGUGGCUAGGGGUGAAAGGCCAAUCAAACCUGGAGAUAGCUGGUUCUCCCCGAAAGCUAUUUAGGUAGCGCCUCGGACGAAUACUACUGGGGGUAGAGCACUGUUAAGGCUAGGGGGUCAUCCCGACUUACCAACCCUUUGCAAACUCCGAAUACCGGAAACGAUGUGGGAAGGCUCAGACAGCCAGGAUGUUGGCUUAGAAGCAGCCAUCAUUUAAAGAAAGCGUAAUAGCUCACUGGUCGAGUC
Molecule: ribosomal RNA, 609 nt
Filed under: Vibrio parahaemolyticus
Lineage: Bacteria; Pseudomonadati; Pseudomonadota; Gammaproteobacteria; Vibrionales; Vibrionaceae
Description: partial 23S ribosomal RNA
Rfam family: Bacterial large subunit ribosomal RNA
Source: RNAcentral